GAUGAACGCUGGCGGCGUGCCUAAUACAUGCAAGUCGAGCGAACGGACGAGAAGCUUGCUUUUCUGAUGUUAGCGGCGGACGGGUGAGUAACACGUGGAUAACCUACCUAUAAGACUGGUAUAACUUCGGGACACCGGCGCUAAUACCGGAGAAUCUUUUGAACCGCAUUGUUCAAAAGUGAAAGACGGUGUUGCUGUCACUUAUCGCUGCAUCCGGGCUGCAUUAGCUAGUUGGUAAGGUAACGGCUUACCAAGGCAACGAUGCAUAGCCGACCUGAGAGGGGGGUCGGCCACACGGGAAGUUAGACACGGUCCUGACUCCUACGGGAGGCAGCAGUAGGGAAUCUUCCGCAAUGGGCGAAAGCCUGACGGAGCAACGCCGCGUGAGUGAUGAAGGUCUUCGGAUCGUAAAACUCUGUUAUUAGUGAUGAACAUAUGUGUAAGUAACUGUGCACAUCUUGACGGUACCUAAUCAGAAAGCCACGGCUAACUACGUG
Molecule: ribosomal RNA, 497 nt
Filed under: uncultured bacterium
Lineage: Bacteria
Description: partial 16S ribosomal RNA
Rfam family: Bacterial small subunit ribosomal RNA
Source: RNAcentral